RNAcentral lists this ribosomal RNA (641 nucleotides) under Alteromonas macleodii. Its description in RNAcentral is "bacterial SSU rRNA". It matches the Rfam family "Bacterial small subunit ribosomal RNA", at positions 102 to 745 of the family's 1533-position model. Lineage: Bacteria; Pseudomonadati; Pseudomonadota; Gammaproteobacteria; Alteromonadales; Alteromonadaceae. The record is from RNAcentral.
ACGGGUGAGUAAUGCUUGGGAACUUGCCUUUGCGAGGGGGAUAACAGUUGGAAACGACUGCUAAUACCGCAUAAUGUCUUCGGACCAAACGGGGCUUCGGCUCCGGCGCAAAGAGAGGCCCAAGUGAGAUUAGCUAGUUGGUAAGGUAACGGCUUACCAAGGCGACGAUCUCUAGCUGUUCUGAGAGGAAGAUCAGCCACACUGGGACUGAGACACGGCCCAGACUCCUACGGGAGGCAGCAGUGGGGAAUAUUGCACAAUGGGGGAAACCCUGAUGCAGCCAUGCCGCGUGUGUGAAGAAGGCCUUCGGGUUGUAAAGCACUUUCAGUUGUGAGGAAAAGUUAGUAGUUAAUACCUGCUAGCCGUGACGUUAACAACAGAAGAAGCACCGGCUAACUCCGUGCCAGCAGCCGCGGUAAUACGGAGGGUGCGAGCGUUAAUCGGAAUUACUGGGCGUAAAGCGCACGCAGGCGGUUUGUUAAGCUAGAUGUGAAAGCCCCGGGCUCAACCUGGGAUGGUCAUUUAGAACUGGCAGACUAGAGUCUUGGAGAGGGGAGUGGAAUUCCAGGUGUAGCGGUGAAAUGCGUAGAUAUCUGGAGGAACAUCAGUGGCGAAGGCGACUCCCUGGCCAAAGACUGACG